This 482-nucleotide ribosomal RNA is filed under the name uncultured bacterium. RNAcentral's name for it is "partial 16S ribosomal RNA". It matches the Rfam family "Bacterial small subunit ribosomal RNA", at positions 30 to 507 of the family's 1533-position model. The record is from RNAcentral.
AUUGAACGCUGGCGGCAUGCCUUACACAUGCAAGUCGAAGGGUAACAGGUCUUCGGAUGCUGACGAGUGGCGAACGGGUGAGUAAUACAUCGGAACGUGCCCGAUCGUGGGGGAUAACGGAGCGAAAGCUUUGCUAAUACCGCAUACGAUCUACGGAUGAAAGCAGGGGACCGCAAGGCCUUGCGCGGACGGAGCGGCCGAUGGCAGAUUAGGUAGUUGGUGGGAUAAAAGCUUACCAAGCCGACGAUCUGUAGCUGGUCUGAGAGGACGACCAGCCACACUGGGACUGAGACACGGCCCAGACUCCUACGGGAGGCAGCAGUGGGGAAUUUUGGACAAUGGGCGAAAGCCUGAUCCAGCCAUGCCGCGUGCAGGAUGAAGGCCUUCGGGUUGUAAACUGCUUUUGUACGGAACGAAAAGACUCUUUCUAAUAAAGAGGGUCCAUGACGGUACCGUAAGAAUAAGCACCGGCUAACUACGUG